Long non-coding RNA from Triticum dicoccoides, 865 nucleotides. RefSeq lists it as uncharacterized. The record is from RefSeq and is a predicted model, not a curated record. The transcript is spliced from 7 exons. NCBI's taxonomy places the organism in Eukaryota, Viridiplantae, Streptophyta, Magnoliopsida, Poales, Poaceae.
AGUCCCCGCGGCCGCGUGUGCCUCCUCGCCGUCGUGGGUGCUCUCUCCCCACUUGCCAAGUGUGAGUACCAGCUACCCACCCAUGUUCUUCUCUGUAAUCAAGUGUUCGCGGGGAAGCUCAGUUAUGGCCAAUUCAUCUCAAAAUAAUGCAAACCCUUGCAGACAGCUCAGGAAGCAGUUGAGCACACUGGCGGCAUCGGUUGUAAAUAGCCGGACUAAAGGAACUAUGCACAUAUCUGCACCCGCAAGUUUUAUUGCUGGAGUGUGGAAUGAUUUGAGCACGGCAGUCAAGGGGCAGAAUUAUUGUUGAAACAUGCCACCGUGUGAAGAUGAAUAGGAACCUUUCAUAAUUAUUCCCAAACAUGCCACCGUGUCAUCAUUGGCCAGUGCAGUUGUGUUACUUGAAGAAUAAUGGCAAGGGAGGUGGGGCGAUAUGCAUGUCCAUGGAGCGGCGGAGGCCAGCAAGUGGAGAAAGAUGAAGGUUGCACAACACCAAGGGUGUGAAUGGGGACAACAAGUAGGCGGCAUGUAUACUACACCAAGGAGCGAUACAGGGCAUGAAGCAAGCAAGCGAGCAGGUGUACACAGCGACCUGCUACUGCACUAAUAGCCUUGACAGAGCACCGGGGCCGGCUCGACAGGGCAUUCGGCCGCCGGCAGACCCUGGAUGUGCGCGAUGGAGAUGAACCCCGCGUUGUCGCCUUUGCAGCCUGGAUAGAGCUCCGUCAGUGCUGGUGAUGAACCCCACGUCUGUGCUGGUGAUGGCGCUGUCCAUCUACUUUCUCCACUGGCUGUCAGACAGUAGAGAUCACAUUGUGGAUUUAUGUUUUCUUCAGAGUGUUCUCCCGUCAUUGUUGGAUGUCGA